GGGAGGAGCCAGCUGGGUUCCUCCCUGGGGGAGGGGCUGCCUGCUGGGUGAUGUCCAGGUGGACCACCCAGGAGGUGUGGGCAAGGUCGGGGGACGUUCUUCAUGACUGCUGUGAGCACACAUCUCCCCCUGCAACAUGGUUUCCAUCACCCUGACAGGGAAAACCUCGAACUUAGAAUCUGGGGGUUCUCAUGAAACACUGCCUGCGCGUUUAAGCCAGUGCUUCUGAAGCCAGGCAAACAAAAUCGCCAAAGAACAACAGUUGCCAGGUUUCACUCUGGAAGCGAUUUUCCCGUGGUGGCUUUAACAAUGGACUCAAUCACUAGAAACCCCCGCGCAGGGUUAGAAACUCCAUGUGCUAUCUGUUAACACUGCCCUUCACCUUCUGGGCCUCUGCCCCAGGCCUGGCCACACAGACUCCUUCUCGGGCCAGAACGAGAUUUCCAACGUGUGACUCAGCAUGGGGCUUAGGUCCAGGCAGCGGACAGCAUUGUUUCUUGUCUAGUUUCUCCUUGAGAGAAGGAAGUUUCCCUCCUAACUUUACAUCAGCUUUUGACUUCUGCUGAGGCUCCUAUUAAGCCCCCAGAUUGGGUCCCUGGACUGCUCUCCCCCUCCUGGACAUGUUUGCUUCACAGCUUCUGUGUAAAUGACUCCUGGAUCCCAGCACCAGUCUCCUUCCUGUGGACCGCGGGGAGAUGUCCGGCUCACAGUUAUCAUCAUCCUGCACCAAAUGCAUCGUCUCUAAGUCAGACUGCCUGCCUGGAUUCCGCUCUUUCCCCUUAACGUGGCUGCUCUUAGAUGCCACGCUGCGUUCAGCCACCUGAGCUUCCAAGCUAGAUCCGUGCAUCAGCCGUUCAGCGCAGGUCCUCAGAAGCUUCUGUCCUGCGCAGGUCCCCCUCUCGCAGCCCCUCAUGGCUGAGCAGCGGGACUCCCCCGCGAUCCACCCUCAAAGUCAUCUCCCUGCUUCCUGUGCUUUUUAAGACAAGGCUCUGCAAAGUUAAUCGGGCCGGGCCAGCCUACAGCCUGCCACCCUUCUGCCUCAGCCUCUUAGACAGUGUCUUGAAAUUUUCACAGUAGCUUAAUGGGUCCUAUUAAUUCACCGCUCGGAUCCUGUUUCUUUCUUGCUAAAAACUGUGUCAGAGCUCCUCUCUUCCCUAUCGAAGGACCCAUCCUUCAUCCCUGAAAGAAAGCCGCUCCCAAGACAAGGCCUCUUGAUGCGACAGACGCCAUCCUCUUCCCUUAUGUUAUAUUUUAGGCACAGUGAGUAGAAUUCUCCAUUUUCGGACUGUGGCUCUUCCCCGAGAUUCAUUCCUUCAAACGCCCAAACCCCAUCCCCAACCUUCCAGGUUUCUGCCAUUUCUCCCCUCCUCGCCUUGCGGAAACCUUAGCACACACUGAGCCUUCAUUUGUGGGGCGCGCCCUUAAAGGUGUGUGUAUUUGUACCUGAUUCAGUUCAAGCUACUUGAACAUAGGCUCUUAGGCCUCGCCGACGCCGGAGGGCGAAUGCUGACCCUGUGCUCCCUGGCCCCGAGUCCCAGCAGUGCUGGCCUUUAACGGCCUCGCUCUCCCUCCUCUUCCUAUAAUCAGACACAGGCAGUAAACGCGGCGCGGAAGGAACCACGCCCCUCCCCCAAGCCCCGCUCAUUUUGUGCUUUGUGGGAGGCAAAAGCGAAUUUCCAACAUUCAGGUCAACAUCAACUUAGAAUGAUUUCUGCCAGUUGGAAAAGAAAACUUUGAAAAAGAGAUUUAACUUGAUUUUCCUUUUUUUAACUUGGGAAAAAUUUGAAAGAUAUAACCUUUCAAGGAAAUAGGAUACUACACACACACACACACACACACACACACACAGAGCCUGGCUUUAUGUAGUUCAAUCCUGUCAAGCUAAUCUAAUCUUUUGUGACACAGCAGCAGACUUGGUAGAUCAAGGGGGAAAACAAUAGUUGGAAUUUAUCUUUGCUGGCUUAGAAACUUUUGAUUCCUGGGUCCCACUCAAUAUGAUUAUAAUUAAACGGGUUGAAAUGUUAGAGAGAGGGACAGGACCAGUCCCGGCUGAGGGCAGAAGUGGUGCUCCCUAGGGGGCGAGGCUUGAGCCCAGUGGCCCUGGACCCCCACGUGAAUGGAUCAAAUGACAGGCCAAAGAACAUAUUCAAAGCCACAUGAAUGUCAGGGUGUGUGUGUGUCUGUGUAUGGGGGGCGAGGUACAGCUGAACAACCAGCCAGAGAAACCACCUCGAAAUUACCAAGUGGUCAAAACAAGUGUGGGAGGCUGAUUAGAAGAGAUUUCAAGUUCAGGAAAAACAACAGCACACAAAUACACUAAUCAGCAAAGUAGCGCUGUACUAAAUGUGAUACCGGGAGGGGAAAGAUAACAUGCAGGAAUCCUGCAGCUCUAAACUUGCAUGAACUGUUCCCCUUUCUAAACUCCGCGGCCAGACAUGGGAAGGAGCAUUUGGACAGCAUUCAGGGGAGAGCUCCGGAAGUCAACUGGGCUGGGAUAUGGGAAUAAAAGACUUGUACGAAAA
Chinchilla lanigera (long-tailed chinchilla) is the source of this 2522-nucleotide long non-coding RNA. RefSeq lists it as uncharacterized. The transcript is spliced from 2 exons. NCBI's taxonomy places the organism in Eukaryota, Metazoa, Chordata, Mammalia, Rodentia, Chinchillidae. The record is from RefSeq and is a predicted model, not a curated record.